GUGGGGAAUAUUGGACAAUGGGGGCAACCCUGAUCCAGCCAUGCCGCGUGAAUGAUGAAGGCCUUCGGGUUGUAAAGUUCUUUUGGAGGGGACGAUGAUGACGGUACCCUCAGAAUAAGCUCCGGCUAACUUCGUGCCAGCAGCCGCGGUAAUACGAAGGGAGCUAGCGUUGUUCGGAAUUACUGGGCGUAAAGGGCGCGUAGGCGGUUUGGUUAGUCAGAUGUGAAAGCCCAGGGCUUAACCAUGGAACUGCGUUUGAUACUGCCAAGCUUGAAUUCGGGAGAGGUGAGUGGAAUUCCCAGUGUAGAGGUGAAAUUCGUAGAUAUUGGGAAGAACACCGGUGGCGAAGGCGGCUCACUGGACCGACAUUGACGCUGAGGCGCGAAAGCGUGGGGAGCAAACAGGAUUAGAAACCCCAGUAGUCC
Molecule: ribosomal RNA, 425 nt
Filed under: uncultured bacterium
Lineage: Bacteria
Description: partial 16S ribosomal RNA
Rfam family: Bacterial small subunit ribosomal RNA
Source: RNAcentral